AACGAACGCUGGCGGCAGGCUUAACACAUGCAAGUCGAACGCCCCGCAAGGGGAGUGGCAGACGGGUGAGUAACGCGUGGGAAUCUACCUAGUUCUACGGAACGACUGAGGGAAACUUCAGCUAAUACCGUAUACGCCCUACGGGGGAAAGAUUUAUCGGAAUUAGAUGAGCCCGCGUAAGAUUAGCUAGUUGGUGGGGUAAUGGCCUACCAAGGCGACGAUCUUUAGCUGGUCUGAGAGGAUGAUCAGCCACACUGGGACUGAGACACGGCCCAGACUCCUACGGGAGGCAGCAGUGGGGAAUAUUGGACAAUGGGCGCAAGCCUGAUCCAGCAAUGCCGCGUGAGUGAUGAAGGCCUUAGGGUUGUAAAGCUCUUUCAGUGGGGAAGAUAAUGACGGUACCCACAGAAGAAGCCCCGGCUAACUUCGUGCCAGCCGCCGCAGUAA
Molecule: ribosomal RNA, 447 nt
Filed under: uncultured bacterium
Lineage: Bacteria
Description: partial 16S ribosomal RNA
Rfam family: Bacterial small subunit ribosomal RNA
Source: RNAcentral